RNAcentral lists this ribosomal RNA (1362 nucleotides) under uncultured bacterium. RNAcentral's name for it is "bacterial SSU rRNA". It matches the Rfam family "Bacterial small subunit ribosomal RNA", at positions 28 to 1382 of the family's 1533-position model. The record is from RNAcentral.
AUUGAACGCUGGCGGCAGGCCUAACACAUGCAAGUCGAGCGGUAGCACAGAGAGCUUGCUCUCGGGUGACGAGCGGCGGACGGGUGAGUAAUGUCUGGGAAACUGCCUGAUGGAGGGGGAUAACUACUGGAAACGGUAGCUAAUACCGCAUAACGUCGCAAGACCAAAGUGGGGGACCUUCGGGCCUCAUGCCAUCAGAUGUGCCCAGAUGGGAUUAGCUAGUAGGUGGGGUAACGGCUCACCUAGGCGACGAUCCCUAGCUGGUCUGAGAGGAUGACCAGCCACACUGGAACUGAGACACGGUCCAGACUCCUACGGGAGGCAGCAGUGGGGAAUAUUGCACAAUGGGCGCAAGCCUGAUGCAGCCAUGCCGCGUGUGUGAAGAAGGCCUUCGGGUUGUAAAGCACUUUCAGCGGGGAGGAAGGCGGUGAGGUUAAUAACCUCAUCGAUUGACGUUACCCGCAGAAGAAGCACCGGCUAACUCCGUGCCAGCAGCCGCGGUAAUACGGAGGGUGCAAGCGUUAAUCGGAAUUACUGGGCGUAAAGCGCACGCAGGCGGUCUGUCAAGUCGGAUGUGAAAUCCCCGGGCUCAACCUGGGAACUGCAUUCGAAACUGGCAGGCUAGAGUCUUGUAGAGGGGGGUAGAAUUCCAGGUGUAGCGGUGAAAUGCGUAGAGAUCUGGAGGAAUACCGGUGGCGAAGGCGGCCCCCUGGACAAAGACUGACGCUCAGGUGCGAAAGCGUGGGGAGCAAACAGGAUUAGAUACCCUGGUAGUCCACGCCGUAAACGAUGUCGAUUUGGAGGUUGUGCCCUUGAGGCGUGGCUUCCGGAGCUAACGCGUUAAAUCGACCGCCUGGGGAGUACGGCCGCAAGGUUAAAACUCAAAUGAAUUGACGGGGGCCCGCACAAGCGGUGGAGCAUGUGGUUUAAUUCGAUGCAACGCGAAGAACCUUACCUGGUCUUGACAUCCACAGAACUUUCCAGAGAUGGAUUGGUGCCUUCGGGAACUGUGAGACAGGUGCUGCAUGGCUGUCGUCAGCUCGUGUUGUGAAAUGUUGGGUUAAGUCCCGCAACGAGCGCAACCCUUAUCCUUUGUUGCCAGCGGUUAGGCCGGGAACUCAAAGGAGACUGCCAGUGAUAAACUGGAGGAAGGUGGGGAUGACGUCAAGUCAUCAUGGCCCUUACGACCAGGGCUACACACGUGCUACAAUGGCAUAUACAAAGAGAAGCGACCUCGCGAGAGCAAGCGGACCUCAUAAAGUAUGUCGUAGUCCGGAUUGGAGUCUGCAACUCGACUCCAUGAAGUCGGAAUCGCUAGUAAUCGUAGAUCAGAAUGCUACGGUGAAUACGUUCCCGGGGCCU